RNAcentral lists this long non-coding RNA (988 nucleotides) under Mus musculus (house mouse). Its description in RNAcentral is "predicted gene 12320, transcript variant 2 (Gm12320)". The record is from RNAcentral. Lineage: Eukaryota; Metazoa; Chordata; Mammalia; Rodentia; Muridae.
AGAUGGAGCAGAGGUAACAAACUGAACCACAUGGCGGAGCUUGUCACCUUCACGGAAUUUCUACAAAAGUCACCAAUUUCCCCAGCAGAUUGGCGUUUGCUUUGUGUAUAGAGAUGCCUUCCGAUGGCACCUGGCUCCGUGCUCCUGGUGGGGACAUAACGUUGAGUCUACAGAAUCAUGUGAGGAGUUUUGGACUGCUCCCCUGGUUUUGUUACUCUCUGGGGUGGAAACAAAGUGUGAACUACAGCUGACAGAUUUCCAACAUUUAUGACACUCAGUGUUUAACCUCCAUGGUGUUCCCUGAUGUGGAAUGAGAGCCAUGUUCUGCUGAAAGGCUUGCCAUAGUAGAAACUAGAACAAUAUUGCAUCAGCUACUUGCUGUAACAAAACACUGUGACCAAGGGAACUCAUAAAAAGAAGAGUUUCUUUGGCUUAGAGUCCCAGAGGAUUGGAAUGCCUGACGGAGGAGCAAGGACACAGGAGCAGGAACAUGAAUCACAGAGCUCACAGUUUGAGCUGCAGGAAUGAAAAGAGACAACGAACUCAAAAUGACAUGUGACUUUUGGAACCUCAAAGUCUUUCCCCGGUGACAUCAUUCCUUCAGCAAGACCACACCUCCCAAACCUUCUCAAACAGCUCCUCCAACUGAAGACCAAGUGUUCAAACCGCUGAGCCUGUGGGGCACAUUCUCAGUCAAAGCAUCACAAGUAUCAUCUAGAUACAUCUAACGACAGAUGCUCAGGGCUUCUGGUGGGCCAUGGGGCUGGGAGGAGGGAGGUACUUGGGAAGACACAACCGGGUAGGAAAUGGUAUCUUUGCAUAGAGAAACCACUCACUUGUUAAGUCAAGCUAGGUGCACCCAUGUCGGAUGGGCAGUGCAAUCUGUAACCACAGGGCUUUCCUACCCAGCCUCUUUGUUCCCCGAAAUAAUGGCUCUGAGCCUUAAUAUUUCGUGAAUAAAUGCCAAAAGCUUUGGCUUGUUCCCCGA